RNAcentral lists this ribosomal RNA (706 nucleotides) under Aleiodes sp. BIOUG09376-E12. Its description in RNAcentral is "partial 28S ribosomal RNA". It matches the Rfam family "Eukaryotic large subunit ribosomal RNA", at positions 360 to 810 of the family's 3401-position model. The record is from RNAcentral. Lineage: Eukaryota; Metazoa; Arthropoda; Insecta; Hymenoptera; Braconidae.
AAAGUUGAAAAGAACUUUGAAGAGAGAGUUCAAGAGUACGUGAAACCGUUCAGGGGUAAACCUGAGAAACCCAAAAGAUCGAAUGGGGAGAUUCAUCGUCAGCUCAUUUUGUAUAUGUAUAAGUUAUGAUGCGGGUUACUACUUGUAGUAUUGCCUGCACAUUCUUGUAUAUUUUGUUGCAAGAUGUUGUCGGCGUGCACUUCUUCCCUAGUAGGACGUCGCGACCCGUUGGGUGUCGGUCUACGGCCCAAGUGAUAGCCUUUAAUGUAAUUUAAAAAUCAUUGAAGAUCCUUGGUGUUUCCUGACCGGCUACUUGGCGGUAUUCGUACGGUAUUUAGCCGCUAAUUUAUUAGCGUCCGUGUCCGUCACAAGCGAGGCCAAUUUACUGAUAGUACGGACCUAGUGCCGUCGUUAGUAUUGGCCAGCUGUUGGUUGUACGUGAUUCUGGGACUGGCUAAAAUUAAUUACCGGUCGGCGAUGCUACUGCUUUGGGUACUUUCAGGACCCGUCUUGAAACACGGACCAAGGAGUCUAACAUGUGCGCAAGUCAUUGGGAUUUUUUUAAAAUUAAACCUAAAGGCGUAAUGAAAGUAAAGGUUGUCCUUGCGUCAACCGAGGGAGGAUGAGUUGUGUUAUGAUACAGCUCCGCACUCCCGGGGCGUCUCAUUCUUAUUACAAGAAGAGGCGCACCUAGAGCGUACACGUU